UGAGGAAUAUUGGGCAAUGCCCGCAAGGGUGACCCAGCAACGCCGCGUGGAGGAUGAAUGUCGUAAGAUUGUAAACUCCUGUUAGAGGGGAAGAAUAGUACCGGUUGGACCGGUAUAUGACUGUACCCUCAGAGAAAGCCCCGGCUAACUACGUGCCAGCAGCCGCGGUAAUACGUAGGGGGCAAGCGUUGUCCGGAUUUACUGGGUGUAAAGGGCGCGCAGGCGGGAUAAAAAGUCAGUGGUGAAAUCCUACAGCUUAACUGUAGAACUGCCUUCGAUACUUUUAUUCUUGAGUUCGGUAGAGAGAGACGGAAUUCCAGGUGUAGUGGUGAAAUACGUAGAUAUCUGGAAGAACACCAGUUGCGAAGGCGGUCUCUUGGUCCGACACUGACGCUGAGGCGCGAAAGCGUGGGGAGC
Molecule: ribosomal RNA, 417 nt
Filed under: uncultured bacterium
Lineage: Bacteria
Description: bacterial SSU rRNA
Rfam family: Bacterial small subunit ribosomal RNA
Source: RNAcentral